CACGUUUAAGUCCGGUCAGCCUCGGUGUACGUACAAAGACCACAGAGAGAUUGAGAACAUUUCACAUGUUUUCUUUGGCCUUAACAGGCCAGUGACCUUCAUUUACGGUUUAUUAUUCCAUUCGUCGAUUCAAUGCCGUUGACUUUGUGUUAAUUUCUUUUACAAUUCUAAUUUUCAUUGUCCUGAAAACUUGGAGAAAGAAGAUCUGCAUUUUUUGCUUCAGAUUGAUCCUUUAGCAUUGGUAACCGUGUUCUCAACAAGUAUAGGAGUUGUCUCUUAUCAACAAAUGUCCAAGCUUUGAUAUGUGCAAGAAAUUGGUUUAGGGGAUUUCAAGAAAUUGGUGAUGAGUUCAAGUUUGUGGAGGAGGAAGGAACUAUUGUUGCUACUUAAGUUUGAUUUUGUAUUGUUGACUUUGCUACUAAAUUUGGUUAUGUAUUGUUGACUUUGCUACUAAAUAGUUUUGUG
Long non-coding RNA from Camelina sativa (false flax), 465 nucleotides. RefSeq lists it as uncharacterized. The record is from RefSeq and is a predicted model, not a curated record. NCBI's taxonomy places the organism in Eukaryota, Viridiplantae, Streptophyta, Magnoliopsida, Brassicales, Brassicaceae.